CAGUCUUAUGAUGGCGACUGUUUUUUUUAAAAACUCCGGAUCGCUCAGUGAGUAGUGUGUAAUGCACUGUAAUAAAAUGUUAUUUUGCCGUGUACUAAUGCGAAAUAUAUGAAAAACUGAUUACCUACCUGAACGUCCUAAUCGUAUUUCUAGGACCGGUGUUAGGUUUUGCGAGGCCCUAGGCAAAAUAUUCUAGAGGCCCCUGAAAACGGCUUUUACAAACCAACAGUAAAAACCUAUACAUUUUACUCACCCCCAUAAUCGGGCAUCGGCGGCUUAAGGAACUCAACCCCCUAGAAAUUUUAAAAGCUCCC
Molecule: non-coding RNA, 314 nt
Organism: Cinara cedri
Lineage: Eukaryota; Metazoa; Arthropoda; Insecta; Hemiptera; Aphididae
Source: the annotation of a GenBank genome assembly